UACGUAGGGCGCAAGCGUUGUCCGGAAUUAUUGGGCGUAAAGAGCUCGUAGGCGGUCUGUCGCGUCGGCUGUGAAAACCCGAGGCUCAACCUCGGGCCUGCAGUCGAUACGGGCAGACUAGAGUGCGGUAGGGGAGAUUGGAAUUCCUGGUGUAGCGGUGGAAUGCGCAGAUAUCAGGAGGAACACCAAUGGCGAAGGCAGAUCUCUGGGCCGUAACUGACGCUGAGGAGCGAAAGCAUGGGGAGCGAACAGG
This 253-nucleotide ribosomal RNA is filed under the name uncultured bacterium. RNAcentral's name for it is "partial 16S ribosomal RNA". It matches the Rfam family "Bacterial small subunit ribosomal RNA", at positions 524 to 776 of the family's 1533-position model. The record is from RNAcentral.